This 890-nucleotide small RNA is filed under the name Arabidopsis thaliana (thale cress). Lineage: Eukaryota; Viridiplantae; Streptophyta; Magnoliopsida; Brassicales; Brassicaceae. The record is from RNAcentral.
UUUUUUUUUUUGUACUCCAAAUUUUGACCUUAAUGUACUUUUUCAGGCCUUAUGUGAUCUUUGCUAUAUUACGAGGCAAAAAUUAUAUGUUCGGACAUUGUUUUUAAAUAUUUUGCGUUUAUCAAAGCUCAUAUAAACAAGAUAGGGUAUUCCUACAUAGCUGGUAGGACCCACGGAAAAUGGAUCAUAAAGUCUUCAAAAAAGAAUAAAUACGAUUGCAUUGCAUGUAGUAACGGAUGCGAUCAUACCAGCAUUAAUGCACGGGAUCCCAUCAGAACUCUGCAGUUAAGCGUGCUUGGGCGAGAGUUGUACUAGGAUGGGUGACCUUCAGGAAAGUCCUCGUGUUGCAUCCCUCUUUUUUUCUCGGUUUUUCUCUUUUUUGUUUUGUUAAAAGUAUAUGACUCUAUAAAUUUUAGACCGUGAGGCCAAACUUGGCAUGUGAUACCUUUUCGGAAAGCCCAAAGAGAGCUCUCCGAUGAAUGAGGAAGCACAAUGGAAUUCUUUUCUUUGUUUUUUUCUACUCUAAAUUUUGACCUUAAUGUAUUUUUUCAGGCCUUUUUCGUGAUCUUUGCUAUAUUACGGGGCAAAAAUUAAAUGUUCGGACAUUAUUUUUGAAUACUUUGCGUUUAUCAAAACUCAUAUAGACAAGAUAGGGUAUUCCUACAUAGCUGGUGGUACCCACGGCAAAUAGAUCAUAAAGUCUUCAAAAAAUAAUAGAUAGAAUUGCAUUGCAUGUAUUAACAGCUGCGAUCAUACCAGCACUAAUGAACCGGAUCCCAUCAGAACUCCACAGUUAAGCGUGCUUGGGCGAGAGUUGUUCUAGGAUGGAUGACCUCUAGGAAAGUCCUCGUGUUCCAUCCCUCUUUUGUUUCGGUUUUUCUCUUUUUUUU